GCUAUAGUAUGUAUUUGAAUAACAUCUGGUAGCCAAUACAGGAAAAAAAGGGUUAUAUGGAACCUAAGAUGUACAAUACGCAACCUGUAUCCCAAUUCAGCGGUUUUCAAAUGAAGUUCUCUCUCAUCCUCCCCCAAUCAUCACCGUUUUUUCUCCACUUUUGCUCGCCACAAUCAUCGCAUGAUUUGAUUAAACUAAAUCGUUGCUGCGAAAAAAUAGUGAUUAUAAGCAACUAGAAGUAAGACAUUGUUAGGGUUUUUUUGAAGACGCUCCAGUUUUUGAAUUUAAUGGUUGACGGAACCACUCCAACCAGGUUUACUCGAGGCUCUAUUGCAAAAAUGGAUGUCGAGAGGCGUACCAAGCAGUGCCAUGACCCCAUAAAUAUGCAAACAAUGGAACAAUCAGAGGUGCAAAAUCUACAAAAAGAAAAGACGAUGGACAAGCUUCAAAAAGUUCUGAAGUUUCCAUAGCAGGUAUAGAAAAGAGGAGAAAAGUCAAUGAUGUUGCUUUGGGGAGCAAGGGUAAAAAUGUUGUUCAAGACGAGUCCUCGAAAGCAGUGGAGGAGGAGGUAUUGUAUCUGAUUUUCCUCACAUAUACAAUGUAUUGAUGUAUUUCUAUAAUUAAGAAAUUAAUCUUCUAUCGAUAAUCAUUCAGCUUUAUGUAUACACAGUAGCUGUUCUUUGGGACUUUUAGAUACAUUGUAUAAAAAUAGCAUGUUUGAUAUGGGUGUAUUCUGUGUCUUGUAUAUAAAAAAUAUUGAUGUUUUUUAUAUAGUGUAUACUUAGUAAAGUAGUUGUAUUGCACUUUAUUUUGGAUCUUUUUUUUUUUUUUUUUUAUAUACAAUGCAUGAGUGAGCCUUCUGAUAUAGUCAAAUACACAACAAAGUAGAUGUAUUUUGGGAAAAAAGUAUAUGUAUUUGAAUGUAUUUAUGGU
Lycium ferocissimum is the source of this 933-nucleotide long non-coding RNA. RefSeq lists it as uncharacterized. NCBI's taxonomy places the organism in Eukaryota, Viridiplantae, Streptophyta, Magnoliopsida, Solanales, Solanaceae. The transcript has 3 exons. The record is from RefSeq and is a predicted model, not a curated record.